Molecule: small RNA, 2084 nt
Filed under: Arabidopsis thaliana (thale cress)
Lineage: Eukaryota; Viridiplantae; Streptophyta; Magnoliopsida; Brassicales; Brassicaceae
Description: ATSL078740
Source: RNAcentral
UUUUUUUUCUAGCUAAUUUAGCCUUUUGAACUGAAAUUUAUGCAAUAUCUAGGAAGGUUUUGACUUUAACCAUAUUAAGAAAGCAAAGAUUGUGAUUUUCACAUCUUUUGUAUACCCAGCCAUUAAGACAAGAAUAAUUCACUUUAAUGCCCUUUUCUCAAUGCCCUUUUCUCAAUGCCCUUUUGCAACUCUACCCUUUUUUUUUCCCAUUUUCAUUUCUACCCUUUCUAAUACUUUUCUCCCCAAAUUACCCUUAAUGAGCUACCCACAGACCUAAUUCAUUUCUUCACUCUCUGUCUUCUUCCUCCAUCAGAAAUUGUGAAUGCCGUUGAAUCCCAUACCGUCGGAAAUAAUGAGUUUACUCGCCCUGAAAACCCAUCUUCGCCGUCGUAAGUAGAGCUGUGUGUCGUCGUCGAAUCUCUUGCGUUUCCCAAGUUUGAUUUUAUAAUGUUAGCUUAAAUCUUCGUUUUCGAAUUGGUUUAUUCGAUUUUUGUUGUUGAUUAUGUAAACUCGUUAUUUGAAUCCUGAUUCAAUCGACAGUUUGACAUUUGCUUCAGCUUCGAAUUUGAAUUUUGUUUGAGAUUUGAUGAUUGAAUUUGUUUCUAAAAUCCUUGUACAUUCGUUAUAUUGUUCUAAAAUCCUUUUGAAUUCGUUAUACUGUUUUGUGAUAGAUUUGCUUAUGUGAAUUCGUUAUACUAUUUCGUAAUAGAUUUUGGUUCUGAUUUAGUGUUUACCUCUUUUGCAUAUGCUUUCGUGAUAGAUCUAUGUCACUUACGCUAUAAAACGAUUUGUAAACCAUGUUAACCAUUUUUCAAAGCUUUUAAAAUCCCUUGUAAAUUAUUCUAUGCUACUUACGCUUUAAAACGAUUUGUAAACCAUGUUAACCACUUUUCAAAGCUUUUAAAAUCCCUUGUAAAUUAUUUUAUGCUACUUACUUACGCUUUAAAACGAUUUGUAAACCAUGUUAACCACUUUUCAAAGCUUUUAAAAUCCCUUGUAAAUUAUUCUAUGCUACUUACUUACGCUUUAAAACGAUUUGUAAACCAUGUUAACCACUUUUCAAAGCUUUUAAAAUCCCUUGUAAAUUAUUCUAUGCUACUUACUUACGCUUUAAAACGAUUUUGUAAACCUUGCUUCUCUCUGUAGUGACAGUUUUUUGUGGGUGUUGAUUUUGUUGUUAUUUAUCUUAUCAGGUUAUAAUGCUAGAAUUGUAUUCUGUUUGUGGCUUGUGGAAGUUGACAAACAAUAUGACUUGGGAAUUUGAAUUAGACAUUGAUUUGGGAGCUUCUUUAGUGCUCAUUGAUGAGCACAUUACCUAUCACGCGUUGUUUGAUAUUCUUGUAGAGGAUUUUCAAAUAGAUAGUUCAACCAAUUCUUUGAAGCUUAGUUACAAGUUAGUCUCCACGUCUACAACCAUACAAUCUCAUCCUCUUUAUAUUAGGAACGAUAGACAGCUUGCAACUUUUAUGCACAAAUUCUCACAGAGUGGAGGAUUGCUUCAGUUAUGUUUGACUGUAGAGCAAAUUUCUGUGACAGUUGAGCAGGUUUUUCAAUAACCUUCUUGUGUUAUAAUUUAAAAAAUCCUUGUAAAAUCAUUAUUAAGUCAGUGAUUGUGCUUAUUACAGGCUGAGACUACUUCAAAUCCUUUUGUUUCUCAUUCUGUCCCUAAUGCUCAGGUACUAAUCGUUUUAAAAAUCCUUGUAAAAUCAUUAUUAACGUUUUAAAACCCCUUUUAAAAAUCCUUGUAAAAUCAAAUUAUUAAGUCAGUGAUUGAGUUUAUUACAGGCUGAGACGACUUCAAAUCCUUUUGCUUCUCAUUCUGCAUCUACUACUCAGGUAAUAAUCCUUUUAAAAAAUCUUGUAAAAUCAUUAUUAACGUUUUUAAACCCCUUUUAAAAAUCCUUGUAAAAUCAUUAUUUAAGAUAGAUUGAUGUUUGAGGUAAGCUUUUUAUUUUGGCAGCCGAGGUUAACCUCUAGGAUUAUUGAGGCAUGUGUAUCUGAAACAUCUAGUAUUCUUGAUCAACAGUAUUCUAGUUCUGCGUUUCCAACUGGUCUAAGUGAUGCUGAUUCUUUGUUUAUUGGAA